AUGUGCCUUUUUUAAAAUAAAGAAAUCCAACCGGAAACCAAAUGAAGAAAUGACAGGGAAAGGGGAGCAGCUCAGUUUCAGUAUACACUACUAAUGGGGUUACGGAAACAAUCCUCUCCAAUAGGGAAACAAUCCUCUCCAAUAACGAUUUCUCAUAUACAACCCACUCCUAUCCUUUCUGUUUUCUCUGUGGCUCGAUCUACUCAAUUGUUUCUUUUUAUCGCUUUCCCUUUCCCUCUUGCAGAUCUCCCAUUUGAGACACCCUCCAGCUUCAUGCCAUUUUUGAAGGCUUUCCAAGUUGAAAUCUGCUUAGAAAGCUAGUCAGCGACUACCGACUAGUAUCGCUGGUUCUGGCUGAGUGAGAUCUAGAGUUUCCGGUUGGGGAGGACAUAGAAUCUGCUGUUUUCUUGAGGAUGUACACUCAGAGGAGGCCGAUCAAAUGGCUGAACAAAUUUCAGUAGAUGAAUGGAAGAAAAAGGGUAAGAAGAAGCAGAAAAGAAAAAAAGAAUAUUAAAAAGCAUACCGUGGUGGUGGAUUCAAAGAAUGUUGAUGAAAAGAAUGAUGAAGAUGAUUUUGAGAUUGAGAGGAAGUCUACUAAAAAUGAGCUUGUGGAGUAUACAACUGGGGACUUUAGUUCUAGAUGUGGCGAAAAUUUCUGAAGCUGAUUUUGAGGAAAGAAAAUGCCAAAUUGAUUAUUGGAUACAUAGAGGAAAUGAAUCUUGUGCAGUUUCUCAAGCUCAUUUAUCAAAAAUGAGGAAUUUUCAAAUCAUUGAUGAGGUUGUAUCCUAAUUACUCUCACGGCAAUUGGAUAAAUGGUAUUGCUAUUGUUAAUGGUGAAGUAAAAUUAUACAAUAUGAGAUAUGAAGGUAAGUGCUAAUUUUAUAUUUUAUGCAUACUUAUGACAUUAAAAUAGAUCAUUAUGUUAUUGUUCGUUGUUAGAUGCAAUGCAUGUUUUAUAAUAAUUUAUUGACUUGUUUAUUUAAAUAGUUUGUGUGUGGGAAUUAUAUAAAUAAUAUAUCUUAAUUCUAUUUUUAGUUGGUUUCAUGUUUCUUUUUGAGUAAAUAUUUUGUUUCUUUGUUUAUAAAGGAAAUGGAAGGGCAUUUGACUGACAUUAAGAAUUUGCAUCGGAUAAUCCUAGCUGUGUUGAUGAAAUUGUCUCUGAAAGAAUUUGAUGAUGAGUCAUUUGAUUGGCAAGUGAAGGCUAAACGAUCUAAAUAUUUCUAUAAAAAAUAUUGCUCGGAGGAAUUUGCGCAUUUAAUGUGCGAAUUGCACUGGUACAUUGACAAUUAAGAAAUUUUCAUAUGUUUAAGAUGUGUUAUUUAUUAUUGUUUAUGUAGUCUUGCAUGAAUUUUGUUGUUUUAACGGCUGACUUCUUUCACAGUAAGUAUCUACAAAUAUUUUUUUAUAAACCAUUCUUUUGGGAUCCUACAGAAAGAAAAUGGUUUUUAGAAAAAGUUUGACUUAAUGUGGACGAAAAAUGAUUAUCUAUUGAAAAGGUAUGUUGAUAGUUGUUUUGAUAGCAAGUGGAGUUGGUGGACACAUGUACCACCCAAAGGACUUUUUAGAGAUGUAUUGGAAUAUAAAAUGGGUCAAAAUAGUGAUGGUCGGGAUGAAAGUCACAAGAAGUUGGAUGCAAUCAGCUUUUGGCAUAAUUGUCGAUUUCAUUUGAAUAAUCAUUUGGACAAGUCUGAAAGACCUGUCUUCAAGACAUAAAUUGACUACAAUGCUACAUGAAAGAUUUGGAUUUGGGUUGCUGAUUAACCAGCAAGGAGUUGAUACAGGGAGCAACCAAUAAGGUUAGUAUUUCUUUAUUAUCCUUCAAAUUGUCUGAUCCAUCGGGUGGAACAAGUGUUCUAUUUCCGCUCCUACUUGUGUUUCUAAAGUUGUUGAUCUCCAAAUCAAAUACUGUUUAAUUCAUUGAAAGCUAAGUCAGAGCACUACAAAUGACAGAGAGACUAAAGCCCAAAUCAGUCUCCAAGGUUGUCAAAAUGAGUUAUGGAUCUAUUACAAAAGCCCAUAAUUGAUGUGUCACGACCAGUCUUGGGAUUUAUUUUAUAUCUGAAGCUUCGGAGGUCCAAAUGAAGCAAACCCAAGCCCAAUUGAACCUUAAGAACCACCUCUACAAUUGUUGUGAAGGGCUGGAAGCGAGAUAAGACCAUUUUAAUUGUAAAAAAUGGCAAUGAAGUCGUCAUUAUGGGCUGGAUACUCUAUCAGAAAUCGGUUUCGAUUUUUGGCCCAUAACUUGGGCUGUAGAUCUCCGAUUUGGGCAAAUGAGUAUCCGUUGGAAAGCUAAGAAGUAGAGCUACAACUUUCCUGAAGAAGUCAGAGAUAGAAUCGCAAGAGGAGUGGUUGAAAAUUGGUCAUGAUUGCAGAGCAAAGAAUCUAUCUUUUUGAAUUUCUAAAAUUUUCCAAGUUCAGUUUUAUCUUUGGGAUUAGGUUUUUUAUUAUAAAGCUCAUCAUUGGACAGCAGCUUCGACACAUCCAUUCACACCUUUGAAACAGCUUGGAGAGCUUCACAACACCUUCAUUUUUCAUUCACAUCCAUAGUUUUAGAUUUCUCCAUUUUAUUUUUCUUUUGUAAGCCAUGAACAUGAGCGGCUAAGUUUUUAAUUCAGUUCAAGAGAUUUUAGUUCUUAUGCAUGAUUUGUAAGACUGGGUUCUUAAUUUAAAUUUUAUCUUUUUGAAUA
Molecule: long non-coding RNA, 2687 nt
Organism: Hevea brasiliensis (rubber tree)
Lineage: Eukaryota; Viridiplantae; Streptophyta; Magnoliopsida; Malpighiales; Euphorbiaceae
Exons: 10
Source: RefSeq, a predicted model, not a curated record